Molecule: long non-coding RNA, 226 nt
Filed under: Linum usitatissimum (flax)
Lineage: Eukaryota; Viridiplantae; Streptophyta; Magnoliopsida; Malpighiales; Linaceae
Description: long non-coding RNA (LUSI_LNC003139)
Source: RNAcentral
AUCUUUGCUCUCCUGCCCUCUCAAUCCGAUUAUUCACUUUGAGAAUCCUAUUGACUAUUCCUUUAGCAUCGUAUUUACUUAGUCUUUCUUUCCUUCCAUGCACUCAGAAAAGUCCUUAGUAGUUCGCAGGCAGAUUAGAAUACAUUUCUGCACGAAGCAGGUAAACCAAUGCGCCCGGAUAAAUAGAAAACAAGAUGUGAAAUACCUUACUUGAGAGCUCUAAAGC